UGUUAAAAAUUUCAUCCAUUUGUACUGUUAAAAACCGGCAUGCCUGACGAAAUAGUCAGACAGUGACACAUGAUUGCCAUGUGCACCUCAUGCUGAGGUGCAGAAAUCAGUUUUUAACAGUAGAAAUGGAUGCAAUUUUUAAAA
Gossypium hirsutum (cotton) is the source of this 144-nucleotide non-coding RNA. The record is from Rfam. NCBI's taxonomy places the organism in Eukaryota, Viridiplantae, Streptophyta, Magnoliopsida, Malvales, Malvaceae.